Molecule: ribosomal RNA, 468 nt
Filed under: uncultured bacterium
Lineage: Bacteria
Description: partial 16S ribosomal RNA
Rfam family: Bacterial small subunit ribosomal RNA
Source: RNAcentral
GAUGAACGCUGGCGGCGUGCUUAAUACAUGCAAGUCGAACGGAAGGAACCUGCUUUUGUGGGGUGCUCGAGUGGCGAACGGGUGAGUAACACGUAAGUAACCUGCCCAUGACUUUGGGGUAACUUCCGGGAACCGGGGACAAAUCCCGGUAGGAUAUCCUGCAGCCUGGUGGGGGUUGGUAAGUUUGGGCUGUGGGGGAUGGGCUCGUGGUGUCUCAGAUUGUUGGUGGGGUAGUGGCUUCCCACGGAGUUGACGGGUAGUAGGCCUGAGAGGGUGACCGGCCACAGUGGGAGUGAGAUACGGCACAGACUCGUACGGGAGGCAGGGGUAGGGAAGAUUGCACGACGGGCGGAAGCCUGAUGCAUCAACGCCGCGUGCGGGAUGAAGGCCUUCGGGUUGUAGGCCGAUUUGGACUGAGACGAAGCGUGAGUGACGGUAAUGGGUAAGAAAGCACCGGCUAACUACGUG